GUACCUGUAGCUCAGCGGAUAGAGCACUUGCCUACGGAGCAAGGGGCCGGGGGUUCGAAUCCCUCCAGGUACG
Molecule: transfer RNA, 73 nt
Filed under: Anaerolineae bacterium
Lineage: Bacteria; Bacillati; Chloroflexota; Anaerolineae
Description: tRNA-Arg
Rfam family: tRNA
About the family: Transfer RNA (tRNA) molecules are approximately 80 nucleotides in length. Their secondary structure includes four short double-helical elements and three loops (D, anti-codon, and T loops).
Source: RNAcentral